Molecule: ribosomal RNA, 294 nt
Filed under: uncultured bacterium
Lineage: Bacteria
Description: partial 16S ribosomal RNA
Rfam family: Archaeal small subunit ribosomal RNA
Source: RNAcentral
GUGGCCAGCCGCCGCGGUAAUCCCGGCAGUUCGAGUGAUGGCCGCUUUUAUUGGGCCUAAAGCGUCCGUAGCUGGCCGCGCAAGUCCAUCGGGAAAUCCACCCGCCCAACGGGUGGCCGUCCGGUGGAAACUGUACGGCUUGGGACCGGAAGGCGCGACGGGUACGUCCAGGGUAGGAGUGAAAUCCCGUAAUCCUGGACGGACCGCCGAUGGCGAAAGCACGUCGCGAGAACGGAUCCGACAGUGAGGGACGAAAGCUAGGGUCUCGAACCGGAUUAGAAACCCUAGUAGUCC